This 460-nucleotide ribosomal RNA is filed under the name uncultured bacterium. Its description in RNAcentral is "partial 16S ribosomal RNA". It matches the Rfam family "Bacterial small subunit ribosomal RNA", at positions 338 to 795 of the family's 1533-position model. The record is from RNAcentral.
CCUACGGGAGACAGCAGUGAGGAAUAUUGGUCAAUGGACGAGAGUCUGAACCAGCCAAGCAGCGUGAAGGAUGACUGCCCUAUGGGUUGUAAACUUCUUUUAUAAAGGAAUAAAACGAGGCACGUGUGCCUUUUUGCAUGUACUUUAUGAUUAAAGAUCGGCUAACUCCGUGCCAGCAGCCGCGGUAAUACGGAGGAUCCGAGCGUUAUCCGGAUUUAUUUGGUUUAAAGGGAGCGUAGAGGGGUUGUUAAGUCAGUUGUGAAAGUUUGCGGCUCAACCGUAAGAUUGCAAUUGAUACUGGCAGUCUUGAGUAAAGUUGAGGUAGGCGGAAUUCGUGGUGUAGCGGUGAAAUGCUUAGAUAUAACGAAGAACACCGAAUGCGAAGGCAGCUUACUAAGCUGUGACUGACAUUGAUGCUCGAAAGUGUGGGUAUCAAACAGGAUUAGAUACCCCAGUAGUC